Chenopodium quinoa (quinoa) is the source of this 2199-nucleotide long non-coding RNA. RefSeq lists it as uncharacterized. NCBI's taxonomy places the organism in Eukaryota, Viridiplantae, Streptophyta, Magnoliopsida, Caryophyllales, Amaranthaceae. The record is from RefSeq and is a predicted model, not a curated record. The transcript has 3 exons.
UUUGUUUGCUGUGUCAUUUCACUUUUGAUCUUUCCCAUGGUUUCGCUCAUACCACUCAUUUAUUUAUCUUUGUUCUUCUCUCUCCUCUCAUCUCAAUUCUCUCCUAAAUCAUCAUGUGUUAAGUUCGAAAGGGUUGCAAUCAUGUGCAUCAUAGUUCAUGAAUUCUUCUAAGUUAAUCUCAUCUAACCUAGAUCUAUUCGAUUUCUGCAAUAUUUGAUGACGACGAUUUGGGUCUGCACCAUUAAUGUGGCUUUUAGGCUGAUUGAAUGGUACAAAGAAAUGGGGUAUGAAAAGUAGUUUUUUAGCAAGGGCUCAAUGGCAGGAAAAGGAGGGAAAAGGCUAUUGGCUGGUAAAACAAUUGCGGUUAACAAAGAGAAGGAAUAAGAAAGACCCCACAUUUCUCGUUGUUCUACACACCUAGUCUUCCAGUAGCCUUUCCUCAUUUAUUUAAAUUGAGAUCAAUAUAAUUUUUCAAGUAGCAUUUAGAUUGAUAUAAUUUGAUUUCAGUGGGUUUGUAUGGUUUGUCAUUGUGCUGCAUUUUUUAUUUUAUGAUGCAUAAUCGACACUUGUGAAGCUUAAGCAUGGCUCACAGUGUAAUCUUAGCCCGACAACCCAAGAUUCCAUGGAUUUUGAAACGAGCUGGAAUGUUUCGGAGGUCUUAUUUACUUUAAUUUGCCUUUCUGCAAUCCUUCCUCUUGGGUUAAUGGAAGUAAAUAAACUGAUGGAAGGUAUCUCCUUUAUUUUCCAUAUUAUUAUCUUUGUGUAAGCUCAAGCAUGGCUCACAGUGCAUGUUUGCCUAUGGGUUAGCUUAGCUUAGCUUUGAUCUUCAUGUCAACUUAAAAUGUGAACUUAGUAUCUCUAAUCUUUAUUUAAAGAAAAGUAUCUUUGAUAUUGGUGUUGAAAAAGGUCAUCAUUAUUUCAAUUAUCUGGUAUAGAAUUUUGCAUUAAUGACAUUCAUAUGAUAAAUUGAGGGAAAAUAUAUCAAUACUGCUAUGAAAUUCGAAAAUGUGAUGAUGAUUGAGAUUAUGUGAAUUUCAUGUUCUUCAUGGUUCUAUUUCUCUAUGCACACUUUUUUCUUCUAAUUUUAUAUAUUUUGAAUUAUUAUUGUUGAUUUGAUAAUGAUUUUGUUUAAAUUAUGAUGAUUUGAUUGGUAAUUUAAAUUUUUGUUAGUUUUGAGUGUUAGAUUAUGGAUUUGUUGGUAGUUUCUGUUUUGAAUUUAUGAGUUUUUGUAUGUUUAUUUAUUUAUAUUUUUUAUUUUUUUGAAUUACUAAUGUUUGCAAAUUUGGUUGGAUUUGUUGGCUAAUUGGACUUCAAAUUUGAAAUGAAUGGAUAAGGAGUUGGUAAAGUGGCGUGAACCAUAAGCUUAUCAACCUUAAUAUCAGGGGCCAACGUGGAAGAAUUAAUAUAUAGGGUUUGCCAAAAUUUUUGAGCAUUUCUUUCUCAAAUUAGUAGGAUGGAGAUUUGUAAAAUUAGCAAAUAAUUAAAGUAAUUGAAAGGCUUUGCUUGGAAAAGGUCACUAGAUCAACUUGUUCUAUGUGAUGAUGACUGAUGAGUCUCUUAUAUUAAUUGUAUGUACUUGAAUAAGCUUGAAUUAUUUGGAUGCAUGGAUGUGGGUGUAACGGUUUAAUUUCAAAAUUUUCCCUAAUUGCUUUCACAAGCCUCUAACUUUAGCCGGCCAGUUUUGUUUUUUCUCUUCUUUUUAUAGAGGAAAUAAAGAGAAAGAAGGGUUGGAUGUUGGUUUUGAAUGUGAUCUAAGGAUUGCAACUAAAUGGCCUUUCUACUGCUGCAGGCACCUUAUGAAAUUAAGGAGUCAAAGCAGGAAUGGUUGAAUUGAUGGGGAAAAAGCUCAAAUUUAAUGAAGAGAUAGCUGUUGAAGCAAUGGCCACUAAAGAAUAGUAGAAGAAAAAGCUCAAAAUCUAUGAGGUUGGCAGACACUAAGCUAGAGCCUCCAGGUUGAGGGAUAUAGUGGAAGAACUGACCCGCCAGCUUAAGAACUUGGACAAUAAAGAUAAUAACAAGAAUAAAACUUGUUCGAGAUAUGUAUGUUGUGGCCUUUGGAGUGACUUUGGAAUUGACUUUGUUGGUACAUAAUGGGAAAUUGAUGUACCAGAACAGCAAGCUCAAAUGAAAUGGAAUUGUUAAAAGUAGAAUCACUUUUAUUGUGAUUUUUUAGGCUUAUAUUUAUAGUCAAUUUAUUCA